RNAcentral lists this ribosomal RNA (424 nucleotides) under uncultured prokaryote. Its description in RNAcentral is "bacterial SSU rRNA". It matches the Rfam family "Bacterial small subunit ribosomal RNA", at positions 355 to 796 of the family's 1533-position model. The record is from RNAcentral.
UGGGGAAUCUUGGACAAUGCGGGCAACCGUGAUCCAGCAAUGCCGCGUGAGUGAAGAAGGCCUUAGGGUUGUAAAGCUCUUUUACCCGGGAUGAUAAUGACAGUACCGGGAGAAUAAGCCCCGGCUAACUCCGUGCCAGCAGCCGCGGUAAUACGGAGGGGGCUAGCGUUGUUCGGAAUCACUGGGCGUAAAGCGCGCGUAGGCGGCAUACCAAGUCAGAGGUGAAAUCCCGGGGCUUAACCCCGGAACUGCCUUUGAAACUGGAAUGCUAGAAUCUGGGAGAGGUGAGUGGAAUUCCGAGUGUAGAGGUGAAAUUCGUAGAUAUUCGGAAGAACACCAGUGGCGAAGGCGGCUCACUGGACCAGUAUUGACGCUGAGGUGCGAAAGCGUGGGGAGCAAACAGGAUUAGAUACCCCCGUAGUCC